RNAcentral lists this ribosomal RNA (977 nucleotides) under uncultured bacterium. RNAcentral describes it as "bacterial SSU rRNA". It matches the Rfam family "Bacterial small subunit ribosomal RNA", at positions 28 to 1009 of the family's 1533-position model. The record is from RNAcentral.
GAUGAACGCUAGCGGCAGGCUUAACACAUGCAAGUCGAGGGGUAGGAGAAGCUUGCUUUUCUGAGACCGGCGCACGGGUGCGUAACGCGUAUGCAAUCUACCUUUCACAGAGGGAUAGCCCAGAGAAAUUUGGAUUAAUACCUCAUAGUAUACUUGAAUGGCAUCAUUUAAUUAUUAAAGAUUUAUCGGUGAAAGAUGAGCAUGCGUCCCAUUAGCUAGUUGGUAUGGUAACGGCAUACCAAGGCUACGAUGGGUAGGGGUCCUGAGAGGGAGAUCCCCCACACUGGUACUGAGACACGGACCAGACUCCUACGGGAGGCAGCAGUGAGGAAUAUUGGACAAUGGGCGCAAGCCUGAUCCAGCCAUGCCGCGUGCAGGAUGACGGUCCUAUGGAUUGUAAACUGCUUUUAUACAGGAAGAAACCCCUCUACGUGUAGAGACUUGACGGUACUGUAAGAAUAAGGAUCGGCUAACUCCGUGCCAGCAGCCGCGGUAAUACGGAGGAUCCAAGCGUUAUCCGGAAUCAUUGGGUUUAAAGGGUCCGUAGGCGGUCAGGUAAGUCAGUGGUGAAAGCCCAUCGCUCAACGGUGGAACGGCCAUUGAUACUGUCUGACUUGAAUUAUUAGGAAGUAACUAGAAUAUGUAGUGUAGCGGUGAAAUGCUUAGAGAUUACAUGGAAUACCAAUUGCGAAGGCAGGUUACUACUAAUUGAUUGACGCUGAUGGACGAAAGCGUGGGUAGCGAACAGGAUUAGAUACCCUGGUAGUCCACGCCGUAAACGAUGGAUACUAGCUGUUGGGAGCAAUCUCAGUGGCUAAGCGAAAGUGAUAAGUAUCCCACCUGGGGAGUACGAACGCAAGUUUGAAACUCAAAGGAAUUGACGGGGGCCCGCACAAGCGGUGGAGCAUGUGGUUUAAUUCGAUGAUACGCGAGGAACCUUACCAAGGCUUAAAUGUAGAUUGACCGGUUGGAAACAG